RNAcentral lists this transfer RNA (74 nucleotides) under bacterium. Its description in RNAcentral is "tRNA-Val". It matches the Rfam family "tRNA". From Rfam's summary of the family: Transfer RNA (tRNA) molecules are approximately 80 nucleotides in length. The record is from RNAcentral.
GACCGCUUAGCUCAGUUGGUUAGAGCGUCACGUUGACAUCGUGAAGGUCGGUGGUUCAAAUCCACCAGCGGUCA